Panicum hallii is the source of this 363-nucleotide long non-coding RNA. RefSeq lists it as uncharacterized. The record is from RefSeq and is a predicted model, not a curated record. The transcript is spliced from 2 exons. Lineage: Eukaryota; Viridiplantae; Streptophyta; Magnoliopsida; Poales; Poaceae.
UGACAUCGACAGUCGCCGGAGGCCGAGCCUCGGCUGCCGCCGGCCAUGGCAACCGCCACCGUGGUGCAUCGUGGAGAUGGGGACUAAGGCGGAAAGAGGUGCAAGGUGAGUCUGGGAUGCAGUGGGGUCGGGGCCCGACGCCGGCGAGGCCACCGGCGGCGAGCCGGCCGCUGUGCCUGCCUCGGCGCCGUGGCCAUGGUCGGGAGCGGAGAGAAGAAGGGGAAAAAGGAGCUGGACCCACCUACCAUAGAGAGGAAAAGAAGGAAGGGUGCAGAAUCUGAAGGCGAGGUUGUCUAACUCAAGCUCGUCAAGCCGAUGUCCAAGGCUUUAGAAGAGAAGAAAGGAAGUUGAUCCGAAAGAGAA